RNAcentral lists this ribosomal RNA (506 nucleotides) under uncultured bacterium. RNAcentral's name for it is "partial 16S ribosomal RNA". It matches the Rfam family "Bacterial small subunit ribosomal RNA", at positions 28 to 523 of the family's 1533-position model. The record is from RNAcentral.
GAUGAACGCUAGCUACAGGCUUAACACAUGCAAGUCGAGGGGUAACGAGAGGAAAGCUUGCUUUCCUUGUCGACGACCGGCGCACGGGUGAGUAACGCGUAUCCAACCUGCCCCCAACUAAGGAAUAACCUUGCGAAAGUAAGACUAAUACCUUAUAAUUUCCUCAGAUGCCAUCUGACGAGGAAUAAAGAUUUAUCGGUUGUGGAUGGGGAUGCGUCUGAUUAGCUUGUUGGCGGGGUAACGGCCCACCAAGGCAACGAUCAGUAGGGGUUCUGAGAGGAAGGUCCCCCACAUUGGAACUGAGACACGGUCCAAACUCCUACGGGAGGCAGCAGUGAGGAAUAUUGGUCAAUGGGCGAGAGCCUGAACCAGCCAAGUAGCGUGCAGGAUGACGGCCCUAUGGGUUGUAAACUGCUUUUAUACAGGAAUAAAGUUAGCCACGUGUGGUUAUUUGUAGGUACUGUAUGAAUAAGGACCGGCUAAUUCCGUGCCAGCAGCCGCAGUAA